CAAGUAGGUGGUCUCAUUUGUCUAGGGUGAAAUCCUUGAGCUUAACUCAAGAAGUGCCCUAGAAACGGUGAGACUCGAGUUCUGGAGAGGGUCGUGGAAUUCCCGGUGUAGCGGUGAAAUGCGUAGAGAUCGGGAGGAACACCAGAGGCGAAGGCGGCGACCUGGACAGAUACUGACACUCAACUGCGAAAGUGUGGGGAGCAAACA
This 207-nucleotide ribosomal RNA is filed under the name uncultured bacterium. Its description in RNAcentral is "partial 16S ribosomal RNA". It matches the Rfam family "Bacterial small subunit ribosomal RNA", at positions 568 to 774 of the family's 1533-position model. The record is from RNAcentral.